This 483-nucleotide ribosomal RNA is filed under the name uncultured bacterium. RNAcentral describes it as "partial 16S ribosomal RNA". It matches the Rfam family "Bacterial small subunit ribosomal RNA", at positions 28 to 523 of the family's 1533-position model. The record is from RNAcentral.
GACGAACGCUGGCGGCGUGCUUAACACAUGCAAGUCGAACGAUGAAGCCGCUUCGGUGGUGGAUUAGUGGCGAACGGGUGAGUAACACGUGGGCAAUCUGCCCUGCACUCUGGGACGAGCCCUGGAAACGGGGUCUAAUACCGGAUACGACCAUCGGCCGCAUGGCCUGGUGGUGGAAAGCUCUGGUGGUGCAGGAUGAACCCGCGGCCUAUCAGCUGGUUGGUGGGGUGAUGGCCUACCAAGGCGACGACGGGUAGCUGGCCUGAGAGGGCGACCGUCCACACUGGGACUGGGACGCGGCCCAGACUCCUACGGGAGGAAGCAGUGGGGAAUAUUGCACAAUGGGCGCAAGCCUGAUGCAGCGACGCCGCGUGAGGGAUGACGGCCUUCGGGUUGUAAACCUCUUUCAGCAGGGAAGAAGCUUUCGGGUGACGGUACCUGCAGAAGAAGCACCGGCUAACUACGUGCCAGCCGCCGCCGUAA